UUUCCGUCAAAGUUUGUUGAUAUUUUGAAGGGCGCUAAGUUAAAAUUUUGCUGCAAGAAAACAAGAGUAUGUGACGGUGUAGAACUAUUUAAUUUGGUGGUCUUCAUGAUUAUGGAGACCGUUUAUACCACCACUGUGUUUCAUUCCAGUUGUGAAGCAUAAAGAGUGGUGAUGGUCAUCCGCUAUCUUAAUUAUGCAAAGAUUAGAGAUUAAGAAUAAUGGCCUUGCCAGUCUUUACCAUUAACCUUAACCACAAGAUUUUGCCUGGCCUUGUUACAAUUGGAAAGUAUGAUGGCACACAUGCAUGUCUCACUGCUGCCACGACAGCUGACCAGGUGCUUAUACACAGUCCACAUCGAAGAGUUGGAUAUGAAACUGGACGCAUGGUCUCACAUGAGAGAAGUAAGGAAUUGGUACUUCUUAACAUCAACCAGCCAGUAACAGCCAUAUGUGCAGGACGCCUGGAUCCGAGCAAGGACUGUGAUAUAUUACUUGUUGGAACCGCUACUAAUCUUCUAGCAUAUGAUGUGGAGAGAAAUAUGGAUCUUUUCUAUAAAGAGGUGAUGGAUGGAGUGUCUGCCAUUACAAUUGGGAGGCUAGGUCAUUGGAAGAAUCCUUUGGUCAUUGUUGGUGGUAACUGCUCUAUUCAGGGAUUUGACUAUGAAGGUAAUGAGCCAUUUUGGACAGUCACGGGAGACACAGUCACCUCGCUUGCUUUAUUGGACUUUGAUGGUGAUGGUGAUAAUGAGUUAAUUGUUGGCUCUCGAGAUUUUGAUAUCCGUGUCUUCAAGGAGGACAAUAUAAUAAGUGAACAUGCAGAACUUGAAGCAGUAACUGUGCUGACCCCUCUUAAUGGAAGUGGAUUUGGCUAUGGAUUGGGUAAUGGCACUGUUGGUGUAUAUCAGAAACUUCAGAGGGUUUGGAGAGUUAAGUCAAAAAGUCGUGCUAUUAUCAUCUAUAGCUUUGAUGUGGACGGUGAUGGUAUGGAAGAACUGAUAACUGGUUGGACAAAUGGGAAGGUGGAUGCCAGAAAUAGCAGAACAGGUGAAGUCAUCUUCAAGGAUACAUUACCUCAUUCUAUAGCAGGGAUUGUAGAAGGCGAUUAUCGACUUGUUGGAAAGAAUGACCUCCUUGUUUGCACUGUUGAGGGAGAAGUGAGGGGCUACAAACAGGCAAAAAUUAUGGGAACAAGACCUGAUGUGAAUGUGGAACAGGAGACAGUCAGGGAAUUGUUAUCAAGGAAGCAGGCAUUGCUUACAGAGCUUCGUAUGUAUGAAAGUAAUGCACAGCUCUCUGGCAUUGCACAUAGUGAUUAUGCUGAAAGUAUUGCUCAACAAUUGCAGCAGCAAGCUGGUGUAAUACCUGCCAAGACUCGGCUGCAGACUGGAAUCUCCAUUAAUAUGGGGAAUGAAAAGAAACCGGGUCACAUUGAAGUCGCUCUUGCAACAAACAAUGAAACUGUAAUAAGAGUUGUAAUGGUAUUCGCUGAGGGCAUAUUUGAAGGUGAGACACAUGUUAUCCACUUAAAAGAAUCAGAAAUAUCAUCUAAUGUGAAUGUUGCACUCUAUCCUCCAAAGGAUGUGCCAGUAGACAUUCACAUAAAGGCCUUGGUGGGUUAUCGUGGAAGCCAGCAUUACCAUGUUUUUGAGCUUACAAGGCAGCUACCACGUUUUGCUAUGUAUGCUUUAUGCGAGGAGCCGGGUAAUUUACCCUCCAGCUAUGUGUCAUUCUCUUUAAAUGAAAGAGUGCAGAGGAUUGCAAUGUGGAUUAAUCAGAAUUUCCUGGUUUUGUCAGAUAUUGAAGCAAACACUGAACUGAAUGUGACAUUUCUUUCACUAAGAGACAACACGAGAGUAAAUAUAUCAAUGCAGCCAGAAAAUAAGUUUGUUAUUGCAACACACAGCAUGGCUGUUGCAGGUGAUAUCGUACAAUCUCUUGCAGCUUUUUUAAAUUUGGAUGAAUUGCAGGUAAAGGCAGAAUUUUCUGAAGAAGAACAACGAAUUGCUGUUUUGCUUCAGCAAGUAAGUGAUCUUCAAGAAACCAGGCUUCGUUUGGCAGCAGAAAUGGCAGACCAUUCUGGACUUGUUCGUAGCUUGGUGAUGCGUGCAGAAAAUGCCCGGCACUUGGGAGAUGUUAAGGACGUUCGGAGAUGGUAUGCAGAACUGAAUUACAUUAGCACUGACUUGGUACGGGGCUAUAACAUACGCUGCAUGAAUCAUCAAGAACUUGUAGAAGCUCUGAAACAAGUCAAUCUCAUAAUAGAAAAGGCAGCUAAGCUAAGAGGUAAUCCUCGUUGAAGACCUCAAUGCACAUGGUGCUUGCAUGUUGUAGAAGACUAUAUAGGUUGCUGUGUUCUCUGAUUUCUAAAUUGACCUGCUCACUUUAUUUGCAGUUGUGGAAUAACAGCUGCUAUCUCAUAACUUGGUCCUAUCACUAAACUUUGAUGUGAUUGGAGAGAGAGAAAAAUUCUAACUUAUAGAAAUUUGGCAGGUUUAAAGUCUCAGUCAUCAAUGCUUGUCGUAUGGCACUGAAAAAUAACAAUGUCAGUCUGCUUGUAAAAGCGAUAAGAAUAGGAGAAGUAUAAUUACAAUAUACCUUGAAUCAGACACAU
This 2611-nucleotide unclassified non-coding RNA is filed under the name Schistocerca americana (American grasshopper). RNAcentral's name for it is "bardet-Biedl syndrome 2 protein homolog, transcript variant X7". Lineage: Eukaryota; Metazoa; Arthropoda; Insecta; Orthoptera; Acrididae. The record is from RNAcentral.